UGGCAGCUAAGUGUCAGUUUCAGGGACCGUCUGGUAAAGCAGUGUUCACAGACUGGGUGUCCAGACAUGGGACUGGGUUAUGAGGUGGAGUAGAAGGCUCUUGAGAGCAGCAAUAUGCCAGGAAAAAUAGGAAACUUUCCAAAGGAAAACAAUAACAACAACAACAACAACAACAACAACAACAGACACCCAGUGAGUCUUAAGUGCCUCUGAGAAAGUAGAGUUGAAGAGGGAGCAAACAAAAUUAAGAGAUCAGCCCUGCAAUCCAGAAACUCAGCUGAUGACCAGUGGUAAGAUGAGGGGAGUGGGGGAAGGGACAAGUUUAAAACCCCAGAUGCUCCAAAUAUGGAUUAAAAGCAGUUGCAGGCUGGGCGCAGUGGCUCACGCCUAUAAACCCAGCACUUUGGGAGGCCGAGGUGGGCGGAUCACCUGAGGUCAGGAGUUCGAGACCAGCCUGACUAACAUGGUGAAAUCCUGUCUCUGUACUAAAAAUACAAAAAAUUAGCCAGGUGUGGUGGUGCAAGCCUGUAAUCCCAGCUACUCUGGAGGCUGAGGCAGGAGAAGUGCUUGAACCUGGAAGGCAGAAGUUGCCGUGAGCCGAGGCCUCGCCAUUGUACUCCAGCCUGGGCAACAAGAGCGAAACUCCGUAUCAAAAAAAAAAAAAAAAAAAUUGCAGGUUUGUGACAGCCCCCAACUCUUUGACAAAGUGAAUAAAAAUCAUCUCUGGAGGAAGAAUUCUUGAUUUAAGCCCAAACAUUUUUCAACCAAUGAAUUUCAGCAAAAUAUCAGUUCAUGAUCAAAGAUCACCAAAACCAUAUAGAAGAAAAAAGAAUAAGAUUCCACACAAACAAUAAGCAACACACUUAGACCACUAAUGACUUCAGUUGUUAGAACACCAGCUAGGAAAUAGAAAAUAUGGAUGAAAUGUUCAAAGAGAUAAAAGAUAAAGCCACAAAGAUGAGUUAGGUCAUGAGACUAUAAAAUAUGCUAAGGUAGCUAUAAAAAAUAAUUUAAAAUUCAAUGAGACCAGGUAGCAGUAAUCCAUUUCCAAACAACAUUACAGAGCUGGGGAAAGAAUCAACUAUCCACCAGCAGUAGAAUGAAUACAUUAUGGGCAAUAGAAUACCGUGCAUUAUUGAAAACGAUCCAACUAGAGCUAUAUGUUACAAUACGAAUGCAUCUCUCAAUACUAAACUAAGGAAACGAGAUCGUCAAGAAUAAAAAUAAUAGGAUCCCAUAUAUUUCAAAAACAAGUAAAUUAUGAUACCAGUUAGAGAUAUUUGUCUGUUUAUAUGGGCACAUAAAUGAUAAAGGAAGUCAAUAAAUGAUUGUCUAAAUAGCUGUAAUCACUGGGAGUGAGUGAGGGAGGGAUGUAUGAAGGAGAGAGGCACAUGGGGUUUCUAGGACGCUGGAACUAUUCUAUUUCUUGACGAGUCGUUACGCACAUAUUCAUUUUAUCAUUUUUCUUUAAAGUGUUUACACAUUUUAUGUACUACUCUGUGUAUGUAUCACAUGAUAAAAGCAAAGAAAAAAGCCAGACAGGGAUCCACACUCCCACCAAUGAGGAUGAUUAUGUUGUUCUAUUCUGACCACAUCCAUCAGUAAGCAAUAUAUCAGGGCUGCCUCUCAAAAAAACAAAAAAACAACCAAAAAAAAAAUGAAAA
This is a long non-coding RNA of Symphalangus syndactylus (siamang), 1664 nucleotides long. RefSeq lists it as uncharacterized. The record is from RefSeq and is a predicted model, not a curated record. NCBI's taxonomy places the organism in Eukaryota, Metazoa, Chordata, Mammalia, Primates, Hylobatidae.